GCCCUUCUAAAAGCGCUCGAUCAGCCUGUGCUCCGUGGCUGGGGGAGUUGUCGUUGAAGGGAAGAUAAAGAUCAUCGCUAGUGGGUGAGACGGCAGUGCCUUGUACUGUUAAAUCUCAAUUAGUGGUGAAACAAUU
Molecule: small nucleolar RNA, 136 nt
Organism: Paramormyrops kingsleyae
Lineage: Eukaryota; Metazoa; Chordata; Actinopteri; Osteoglossiformes; Mormyridae
Source: Ensembl